This is a non-coding RNA of Peromyscus maniculatus bairdii (prairie deer mouse), 137 nucleotides long. The record is from RefSeq and is a predicted model, not a curated record. NCBI's taxonomy places the organism in Eukaryota, Metazoa, Chordata, Mammalia, Rodentia, Cricetidae.
GAGAGAGAGAAUAGAAUAUAUACAGUCUUAGAUUAAAAGAUAUAGGUUUAAAAUAAAGUCCUUUAAAAGGAAUACAGUAAUAAAAAAUAUAUAAACCACAUAAAGAUGGGAAAUACACAGAAUCUGGAUCCUAUGUU